RNAcentral lists this ribosomal RNA (253 nucleotides) under uncultured bacterium. Its description in RNAcentral is "partial 16S ribosomal RNA". It matches the Rfam family "Bacterial small subunit ribosomal RNA", at positions 524 to 776 of the family's 1533-position model. The record is from RNAcentral.
UACGUAGGGUGCGAGCGUUGUCCGGAAUUAUUGGGCGUAAAGGGCUCGUAGGCGGUUUGUCGCGUCGGGAGUGAAAACACUGGGCUUAACUCAGUGCUUGCUUCCGAUACGGGCAGACUAGAGGUAUGCAGGGGAGAACGGAAUUCCUGGUGUAGCGGUGAAAUGCGCAGAUAUCAGGAAGAACACCGGUGGCGAAGGCGGCUCUCUGGUACGUGACUGACACUGAGACGCGAAAGCGUGGGGAGCGAACAGG